AGCGGUGAAAUGCGUAGAUAUAGGAAGGAACACCAGUGGCGAAGGCGGCUACCUGUCAA
Molecule: ribosomal RNA, 59 nt
Filed under: Marinobacter sp. B9-2
Lineage: Bacteria; Pseudomonadati; Pseudomonadota; Gammaproteobacteria; Pseudomonadales; Marinobacteraceae
Description: partial 16S ribosomal RNA
Source: RNAcentral